This 133-nucleotide ribosomal RNA is filed under the name uncultured bacterium. RNAcentral describes it as "partial 16S ribosomal RNA". It matches the Rfam family "Bacterial small subunit ribosomal RNA", at positions 355 to 486 of the family's 1533-position model. The record is from RNAcentral.
UAGGGAAUAUUGGUCAAUGGGCGAGAGCCUGAACCAGCCAUGCCGCGUGAAGGAAGGCGGCCUUCUGGGUUGUAAACUUCUUUUAUCAGGGAACAAAAAGCUUCUGCGGAAGAAAUUGAGUGUACCUGAAGAA